This 440-nucleotide ribosomal RNA is filed under the name uncultured bacterium. RNAcentral's name for it is "partial 16S ribosomal RNA". It matches the Rfam family "Bacterial small subunit ribosomal RNA", at positions 338 to 795 of the family's 1533-position model. The record is from RNAcentral.
CCUACGGGUGGCUGCAGUGGGGAAUAUUGCACAAUGGGGGAAACCCUGAUGCAGCGACGCCGCGUGAGUGAAGAAGUAUUUCGUUAUGUAAAGCUCUAUCAGCAGGGAAGAAAAUGACGGUACCUGAGUAAGAAGCCCCCGCUAACUACGGGCCAGCAGCCGCGGUAAUACGUAGGGGGCAAGCGUUAUCCGGAUUUACUGGGUGUAAAGGGAGCGUAGACGGGAGUGCAAGUCUGGAGUGAAAGGCGGGGGCUGAACCCGCAGACUGCUCUUGAAACUGUACGGCUGGAGUGCAGGAGAGGUAAGUGGAAUUCCGAGUGUAGCGGUGAAAUGCGUAGAUAUUAGGAGGAACACCAGUGGCGAAGGCGGCCUACUGGACUGUAACUGACGUUGAGGCUCGAAAGCGUGGGGAGCAAACAGGAUUAGAUACCCUUGUAGUC